This 460-nucleotide ribosomal RNA is filed under the name uncultured bacterium. Its description in RNAcentral is "partial 16S ribosomal RNA". It matches the Rfam family "Bacterial small subunit ribosomal RNA", at positions 338 to 795 of the family's 1533-position model. The record is from RNAcentral.
CCUACGGGAGGCAGCAGUGAGGAAUAUUGGUCAAUGGGCGAGAGCCUGAACCAGCCAAGUCGCGUGAAGGAUGACGGCCCUACGGGUUGUAAACUUCUUUUGUCAGGGAGCAAUUGGGUCCACGCGUGGGCUUAGCGAGAGUCCCUGAAGAAAAAGCAUCGGCUAACUCCGUGCCAGCAGCCGCGGUAAUCCGGAGGAUGCGAGCGUUAUCCGGAUUUAUUGGGUUUAACGGGGGCGUAGGCGGAAUCUCAAGCCAGCGGGAAAAAUUCGGGGCUCAACCCCGUCGUGCCGUUGAAACUGAUGUUCUUGAGUGGGCGAGAAGUAUGCGGAAUGCGUGGUGUAGCGGUGAAAUGCAUAGAUAUCACGCAGAACUCCGAUUGCGAAGGCAGCAUACCGGCGCCCAACUGACGCUGAAGCACGAAAGCGUGGGUAUCGAACAGGAUUAGAUACCCUUGUAGUC